Molecule: long non-coding RNA, 347 nt
Organism: Homarus americanus (American lobster)
Lineage: Eukaryota; Metazoa; Arthropoda; Malacostraca; Decapoda; Nephropidae
Exons: 3
Source: RefSeq, a predicted model, not a curated record
CCAGGCCACGACCCAGACCAACACACGGGACAGUCAGUAAGACACCCGGAGUCAACAGGAGGACGCUACUCACUGGUCGAGUUUCUUCACCGUUGACGACUUGGAUCAGUGCCCUAACGAGGCUCCUUUAAUACACGGGUAACAAGCGGAGGAUGAACAAGGAAACUGCCAGUAGUUGACCUGUCCCGAGAUCGAGGUCAAAGAGAAGGUCAAGGAAGGUCAAAUAAGGUCAAAUAUCAGAUGAGCGCCAGUCCUAAUAGGCCCCAAUCUCUCAUCGUGACCCCCACCACAAGUCAACUGAUAUUUGGAUGAAAGAUCAUAAAGGCUUGUAAACAAUAAACCCAAAU